Molecule: ribosomal RNA, 311 nt
Filed under: uncultured Arcobacter sp.
Lineage: Bacteria; Pseudomonadati; Campylobacterota; Epsilonproteobacteria; Campylobacterales; Arcobacteraceae
Description: bacterial SSU rRNA
Rfam family: Bacterial small subunit ribosomal RNA
Source: RNAcentral
AGUGAACGCUGGCGGCGUGCUUAACACAUGCAAGUCGAACGAGAACGGAUCUAGCUUGCUAGAUUGUCAGCUAAGUGGCGCACGGGUGAGUAAUAUAUAGAUAACAUGCCUUAGAGAAGGGGAUAACAGUUGGAAACGACUGCUAACACCCUAUAUGCCUUUAAUACAUAAGUAUGCAAGGGAAAUAUUUAUAGCUCUAAGAUUGGUCUGUACAGUAUCAGUUAGUUGGUGAGGUAAUGGCUCACCAAGACAAUGACGCUUAACUGGUUUGAGAGGAUGAUCAGUCACACUGGAACUGAGACACGGUCCAG